AUGCGGCAGCAGGAGGACCGGGCGCUCCUCCCGACGACGACGGCCGCCGGCGGCCCGGACGCCGCGGCGGCGUCCGGGCCUUCGGGGCGGCUGCGGACGGCGGGGCUGGUGGCGGCGUGGUACGCGUCCAACAUCGGGGUGCUGCUGCUCAACAAGUACCUCCUCUCCGUCUACGGCUUCCGCUACCCGGUCUUCCUCACCGCCUGCCACAUGUCCGCCUCGGCGCUCCUCUCCUCCGCCUUCGCCGCCGCCACCUCCUCCUCGUCCCCGCGCCGGCCGCUCUCGCGCGGGCAGGCGGCCAGGGUGGCCGUGCUGGGCGCCGUCUUCUGCGGCUCCGUCGUCGCCGGCAACGUCUCGCUGCGCUACCUCCCCGUGUCAUUCAACCAGGCCGUCGGCGCCACCACGCCCUUCUUCACCGCGCUCAUCGCCUACGCCGUCGCGGGGCGGCGCGAGGCCCGUGCCACCUACGCCGCCCUCCUCCCCGUCGUCGCCGGCGUCGUCAUCGCCACCGGGGGCGAGCCGAGCUUCCAUCUGUUCGGGUUCAUCAUGUGCGUGGGCGCGACGGCGGGGAGGGCGCUCAAGACCGUGCUGCAGGGGAUCCUGCUCUCCUCAGAAGAGGAGAAGCUCAACUCCAUGGACCUGCUCUGGUACAUGGCGCCGGUGGCCGUGGUGCUGCUGGUGCCGGCGACGCUGAUGAUGGAGCCGGACGCGCUCGGCACGGCGGCGGCGCUCGCCAGGGAGGACCCCAGCUUCGUCUGGUUGCUGCUCGGCAACUCCUCGCUGGCCUACCUGGUGAACUUGACCAAUUUCCUGGUCACCAAGCACACCAGCCCGCUCACCCUCCAGGUCCUCGGGAACGCGAAAGGGGCGGUCGCCGUCGUCGUCUCCAUCCUGAUAUUCAAGAACCCGGUGACCGUCAUGGGGAUGCUGGGCUACGGGGUGACCAUCGCCGGCGUGGUUCUGUACGGCGAGGCCAAGAAGAGGAGCAAGUGA
Molecule: ribosomal RNA, 993 nt
Filed under: Triticum aestivum (bread wheat)
Lineage: Eukaryota; Viridiplantae; Streptophyta; Magnoliopsida; Poales; Poaceae
Description: partial small subunit ribosomal RNA
Source: RNAcentral